RNAcentral lists this small RNA (27 nucleotides) under Bombyx mori (domestic silkworm). RNAcentral describes it as "ovarian small RNA-37427". The record is from RNAcentral. Lineage: Eukaryota; Metazoa; Arthropoda; Insecta; Lepidoptera; Bombycidae.
UUCGUAACUUCCGCCGCAUCGGUGUCG